RNAcentral lists this ribosomal RNA (464 nucleotides) under uncultured Klebsiella sp. Its description in RNAcentral is "bacterial SSU rRNA". It matches the Rfam family "Bacterial small subunit ribosomal RNA", at positions 338 to 795 of the family's 1533-position model. Lineage: Bacteria; Pseudomonadati; Pseudomonadota; Gammaproteobacteria; Enterobacterales; Enterobacteriaceae. The record is from RNAcentral.
CCUACGGGCGGCUGCAGUGGGGAAUAUUGCACAAUGGGCGCAAGCCUGAUGCAGCCAUGCCGCGUGUGUGAAGAAGGCCUUCGGGUUGUAAAGCACUUUCAGCGGGGAGGAAGGCGUUAAGGUUAAUAACCUUGGCGAUUGACGUUACCCGCAGAAGAAGCACCGGCUAACUCCGUGCCAGCAGCCGCGGUAAUACGGAGGGUGCAAGCGUUAAUCGGAAUUACUGGGCGUAAAGCGCACGCAGGCGGUCUGUCAAGUCGGAUGUGAAAUCCCCGGGCUCAACCUGGGAACUGCAUUCGAACUGGCAGGCUAGAGUCUUGUAGAGGGGGGUAGAAUUCCAGGUGUAGCGGUGAAAUGCGUAGAGAUCUGGAGGAAUACCGGUGGCGAAGGCGGCCCCCUGGACAAAGACUGACGCUCAGGUGCGAAAGCGUGGGGAGCAAACAGGAUUAGAUACCCGGGUAGUC